This 253-nucleotide ribosomal RNA is filed under the name uncultured bacterium. Its description in RNAcentral is "partial 16S ribosomal RNA". It matches the Rfam family "Bacterial small subunit ribosomal RNA", at positions 524 to 776 of the family's 1533-position model. The record is from RNAcentral.
UACAGAGGUCCCAAGCGUUGUUCGGAUUCACUGGGCGUAAAGGGUGCGUAGGUGGUGAGGUAAGUCGGAUGUGAAAGCUCCGAGCUCAACUCGGAAAUGGCAUUGGAAACUACCUUGCUAGAGGGUUUGAGAGGGGACUGGAAUACUUGGUGUAGCAGUGAAAUGCGUAGAUAUCAAGUGGAACACCAGUGGCGAAGGCGAGUCCCUGGAAAACUCCUGACACUGAGGCACGAAAGCUAGGGGAGCAAACAGG